CCUACGGGUGGCAGCAGUGAGGAAUAUUGGUCAAUGGACGAGAGUCUGAACCAGCCAAGUAGCGUGAAGGCUGACUGCCCUAUGGGUUGUAAACUUCUUUUAUCAGGGAAUAAAAUGUUCCACGUGUGGGCUUUUGUAUGUACCCUAUGAAUAAGGAUCGGCUAACUCCGUGCCAACAACCGCGGUAAGACGGAGGAUUCGGGCGUUAUCCGGAUUUGUUGGGUUUAAAGGGAGCGUAGGUGGAUUGUCAAGUCAGUUGUGAAAGUUUGCGGCUCAACCGUAAAAUUGCAGUUGAAACUGGCAGUCUUGAGUACAGUAGAGGUGGGCGGAAUGCGUGGUGUAGCGGUGAAAUGCUUAGAUAUCACGAAGAACUCCGAUUGCGAAGGCAGCUCACUGGACUGCAACUGACACUGAGGCUCGAAAGUGUGGGUAUCAAACAGGAUUAGAUACCCUUGUAGUC
RNAcentral lists this ribosomal RNA (460 nucleotides) under uncultured bacterium. Its description in RNAcentral is "partial 16S ribosomal RNA". It matches the Rfam family "Bacterial small subunit ribosomal RNA", at positions 338 to 795 of the family's 1533-position model. The record is from RNAcentral.